UCCACUGUGGUGGCGCACACCUUGUAGUCCCAGCUACUUGGGAGGCUGAGGCAGGAGGAUCACUUGAGUCCAGGAGUUCUGGGCUGUACUGCACUAUGCCAAUCGGGUGUCUGCACUAAGUUUGGCAUCAAUAUGGUGACCUCCUGGGAGCAGGGGCCCACUAGGUUGCCUAAGGAGGGGUGAACCAGCCCAGGUCAGAAACAGAGCAGGUUAAAACCUCCAUGCUGAUCAGUUUUCACUGUUUUGCUCUAUUGUUUCUUUGUUUUAAAAUUCAUUGGUUUCUGUUCUUAU
Molecule: unclassified non-coding RNA, 291 nt
Organism: Vulpes vulpes (red fox)
Lineage: Eukaryota; Metazoa; Chordata; Mammalia; Carnivora; Canidae
Rfam family: Metazoan signal recognition particle RNA
About the family: The signal recognition particle (SRP) is a universally conserved ribonucleoprotein. It is involved in the co-translational targeting of proteins to membranes.
Source: Ensembl